CGGGCAUAUCUCGUUAAAAUAUUGGUUCUCGCCCGAUCGCUGAAGUUAAGCCUAGUUGAGCCUAGUACGUACCUAGAUGGGUGACUGUUUGGGACUACUUGGUGUUGUAAG
Molecule: non-coding RNA, 111 nt
Organism: Acanthosepion pharaonis
Lineage: Eukaryota; Metazoa; Mollusca; Cephalopoda; Sepiida; Sepiidae
Source: the annotation of a GenBank genome assembly